GAUGAACGCUGGCGGCGUGCCUAAUACAUGCAAGUCGAGCGAACAGACGAGGAGCUUGCUCCUCUGACGUUAGCGGCGGACGGGUGAGUAACACGUGGAUAACCUACCUAUAAGACUGGGAUAACUUCGGGAAACCGGAGCUAAUACCGGAUAAUAUAUUGAACCGCAUGGUUCAAUAGUGAAAGACGGUUUUGCUGUCACUUAUAGAGGGAUCCGCGCCGCAUUAGCUAGUUGGUAAGGUAACGGCAUACCAAGGCAACGAUGCGUAGCCGACCUGAGAGGGUGGUCGACCACACUGGAACUGAGACACGGUCCAGACUCCUACGGGAGGCAGCAGUGGGGAAUCUUCCGCAAUGGGCGAAAGCCUGACGGAGCAACGCCGCGUGAGUGAUGAAGGUCUUCGGAUCGUAAAACUCUGUUAUUAGGGAAGAACAAAUGUGUAAGUAACUAUGCACGUCUUGACGGUACCUAAUCAGAAAGCCACGGCUAACUACGUG
Molecule: ribosomal RNA, 497 nt
Filed under: uncultured bacterium
Lineage: Bacteria
Description: partial 16S ribosomal RNA
Rfam family: Bacterial small subunit ribosomal RNA
Source: RNAcentral